UUCCUCAGUAGCUCAGUGGUAGAGCGGUCGGCUGUUAACCGAUUGGUCGCAGGUUCGAAUCCUGCCUGGGGAGU
This 74-nucleotide transfer RNA is filed under the name Chlorogloeopsis fritschii PCC 6912. RNAcentral's name for it is "tRNA-Asn". It matches the Rfam family "tRNA". From Rfam's summary of the family: Transfer RNA (tRNA) molecules are approximately 80 nucleotides in length. Their secondary structure includes four short double-helical elements and three loops (D, anti-codon, and T loops). Lineage: Bacteria; Bacillati; Cyanobacteriota; Cyanophyceae; Nostocales; Chlorogloeopsidaceae. RNAcentral also lists the same sequence under 7 other names. The record is from RNAcentral.